UAGCGAAGAGGCUAAACGCGGCGGACUGUAAAUCCGCUCCUUCGGGUUCGGGGGUUCGAAUCCCUC
This 66-nucleotide transfer RNA is filed under the name Streptococcus pneumoniae. RNAcentral's name for it is "transfer RNA-Pseudo(GTA)". It matches the Rfam family "tRNA", at positions 8 to 63 of the family's 71-position model. From Rfam's summary of the family: Transfer RNA (tRNA) molecules are approximately 80 nucleotides in length. Their secondary structure includes four short double-helical elements and three loops (D, anti-codon, and T loops). Further hydrogen bonds mediate the characteristic L-shaped molecular structure. tRNAs have two regions of fundamental functional importance: the anti-codon, which is responsible for specific mRNA codon recognition, and the 3' end, to which the tRNAs corresponding amino acid is attached (by aminoacyl-tRNA synthetases). tRNAs cope with the degeneracy of the genetic code in two manners: having more than one tRNA (with a specific anti-codon) for a particular amino acid; and 'wobble' base-pairing, i.e. permitting non-standard base-pairing at the 3rd anti-codon position. The record is from RNAcentral. Lineage: Bacteria; Bacillati; Bacillota; Bacilli; Lactobacillales; Streptococcaceae.